UCUUCUCUCUCCUUGUUGAUAUCACUCAGCUGCGUGCGUAUGUUCCCACUGUGUGCUGUCCCCGCUCUGCGCAGAUAGCUGACACAGCAGACCCCAAGAGAACCCUCAAUGACCACAGAGUUUAGUAAGGUAAGAAGGCACUUUGGCCA
Chelonoidis abingdonii (Abingdon island giant tortoise) is the source of this 149-nucleotide non-coding RNA. The record is from RefSeq and is a predicted model, not a curated record. Lineage: Eukaryota; Metazoa; Chordata; Testudines; Testudinidae.